Molecule: long non-coding RNA, 5341 nt
Organism: Dromaius novaehollandiae (emu)
Lineage: Eukaryota; Metazoa; Chordata; Aves; Casuariiformes; Dromaiidae
Exons: 4
Source: RefSeq, a predicted model, not a curated record
UAAGCUAUUCUGGAAAGCAAAGUGCAGACACCUGUGGCUGUGCACAGACCUAGAUCAAGCCCAGUAAGAUACAUUAGCUCCAACUAAGCACUGUUGCUGCUAGGUGUCUCCACAGUGUUUCCCAGCAGGGGACAGGAAACUUAACCACAGUGAGAUGAGCACUGGACCUGGACUGACUGCCUUAACUUGUGCAUUGCUGUGGCUGAGCUCAGUCUCUCUCAGUGUGUGGGAGAUGCAAAAUGUAGCAAAACCCAAAAGCUGCUCUGUACAAGUCCAGCACUGAGCUGGUACUAGCAAACCCUGGUGGACCCAUGCUGAAUGAGCAGCACCUCAGAGACAGCCAGCGCUCUCCAAAUCAGGAGGGUACUUCAGAGAAAUCUGGACCUGCUCUGCACAGAACUGUCUUGGGUCUACUGUGUUUGUUUGCCCCAGCUCCAUGCCAGAUAAAAACAAGUAUGCGGCUUACGCAUUCAACCUGGCUUUGGAAGCAAAUUAGCUGUAGCCAUGUGGCUUGGCCUUGCUUUAGAGUUAUUAUGCUGCUGGACCUGAGCUGGCUUAGCAGAUAGGCGCAGUUAUUCUGCAACAUGGUUACUCUAUCCACAGAUAACUAAGAUUUGAUUGUAAUAGAUGGUUGUUAUUGGAGGUGGUAAGGUGUCCGUUAUUUUAACAGGCUUUCAAAACUCAGCGAGGAAAGAAAACAUGGAUCCAGUCAUGCUUCAGUGAGCUAUGAGCUGUUUAAAGUCACUGUUUUUGAAAGCUUUGGUAGCAUGUGGAAGUAAUGGUGGAAAAUGAGUGUGCCAAAGAAUCAGGCCUUAUUUUUUAAGAGUAGCAGCAGCAGUGACACACAUUGCACCAUGAAGAGAUUAUCAACCAUGGUUUAGGGUGGGGAAACCCAGAGCACAUACCCUUUUGACUUGUUUCCCAUUUGGAGAACCUACGUAACUCAUGUUCCACUGUUAAGACUAGGAUGUUUUUGCUUCUUUUUUGUGAUUUCACAGGGAUUGUUUCCUUCCCUGAAUUCAAGAACUCUUUCUAAUGAAAAUGUGUUAAAUAAAAAUAAUAAAUGCCAAAGUACCACACAGCUGUACACCUUCUGCUAGAGCACACUCUGAAUGUCACUCCUGAAUUUUUGUACCACUGAUGCAAUGUGGUUGAGACCUCAAACUGGCUGUUGAUGGAAAGAAUCUCCUUUCUCACUGAGUUUCACACCUGUUCAAGAUAAGUUUUCUUCUAAUACCAUGUCAUUUCAAGUGAUAUUAGAAAUGCCAUAACAAUACAAAGAAAGCAAAAACAUCAGAGACCAAAAUUACAUAGCUGAAUGCCUAGCUAGGUGUUCUAGUGAAAGAAGACUCCCUUUCAGAGGUACAAAGUAGGGACACUUAGAAUUGUCUUCCCAUAUAUCUGUGAAUAUGUGGAUAUUCAGAACCUCAGAACAAUAGACCAGCAAACUUAGAUAUCAGUUAUGGCCUUAAGCCCCUGAGGUUGGUAAUAUUAGCCAACCAAAAGCAAUAUAUGUGACACAAAAUGCGGUAGGUGUCACUGGUUUGAUGAAAUUUAUAGUACUCCAAGAAGGUUUGAAUUCUAUUUGUCUUCCCAAAUCUCAGAAAGUUCUCCACCUCCUAUGAGCUUUGAAGCAUAGUAUUUAAAGUGAAAAACAUUUUAGAACAUUAAAUCCAACCUAUGAUAUAUGAAAAAUAAUAUAAAUAACUUAGGGAUCUGUGUACCCAAAAAGCACUCCUCUAGACCGUGUUCAUUCCCAACCUGUGGAAAACAUUUUUUUCCAUGUCUAGCAAGCUUUUCUAGCAAGUCUUUCCCUUGAGGACUCCAGUAAAAUUAAAUUACUAAUAUUUGUUAAGUAUUUUGUAGCUGUAAUGAUAAACCACAUAGAAAAGCCUAUGAAGGAAUGAUUACUUUUAUUGUCAGAAAAAGAUAUAGCAUGCAGUUAAUAAAGCAGGCUGUCACACCUUGAACCAUGAAGAAAAAACAAAAUAAUGUUUUGUCAGUGAGCACUAUCCAUCAUGUGUUAUGAAUGAGGCAGAGGAAAAAAUAUUGUGUGAUCAUCUAAUUAAAGGCAGUAUCAUAAUUCAUACUCACAAGGGGCCAAAUUAAGGUUGAACAGACGGUCUUAAUUCUGACAUUACCUCACUCUUGAAUGCCUGACUUUACAGUCUAAAUAAUACUCUCUUGACCUAGUUUAUAAUAUGACAAAUAAAUCGGGAUUUUUUCAAAGAUGAUUAGAAGGUCUAGUCACAGAGUCCUAUGAAUUUCACUGUGACUAUAUGCCCUUUCUGGCUUUAGAAAACUCAUCCUUGCUUUCUGUAUGCAUUUGGCUACCCCAAAACAUAUAUGCACAGUUCUUAUAUCAUUCUGUUACUUUAUCAUUCUUAUAUCAUUCUGUUGCCAUAAUUUGCUAACUUCUGCCACAAUUCCAACAUCAAAUUAUUUUAGUCAGAGAUUUAGCUUGUAUGUGAAAAAAGCACAUUUCUCUCUCUCUCUCUCUCUCUCUCUCUCUCUCUCUGUAGUAACCGUAGUCUCAUUUUAAAGAAAACCAGCAAACAUUUUCCCCAGUACAAAGUUGCUUCUUUGCUUCUCAGCCCACCUGAGUAAUAUUAGCUAAAUUGUCACUAAGGCAUGUCAAAGCCUUGGACACUGCAAUUAGACAGAAAAAUGGCUAACCAUCCCACAGGCUUCCAAAUGACAGUUUGCAAUGACAGUCUAUAAGACUUAUGUUCCUCACUUGAUUUUUGCUUUUGAAUUUGCAAUUAGACUAUUUAAAAUCCUGACAACAAUCUCUUCUUCCCCUUUCAUUUUCUAUGAAGAUUGGCCAGCCCGAGGGGCUCUAAGAUAAGCUUUGGUAAUCUCUGAAGACUCUGACAGCAUUAAACGGCAUGUUGAAAGGACUGAUAAUCUGGAACUCAAGUUAAAAUAUAGUCCUGAAGAGGCUGUCAACCUCAGAUAUCCUGGAAACGCUACAGUAAGGUUAACAUCACCGAGAAUUUUUGGAGAAGCCACAAUACUGGAGUAGAAAGUAAGCCCAGAAGGAGGGCCGCCGGAUAGCAACUUGUGGGAUUAAAUCCACAGCGCUUGCAAAAUCAAGUAUCUGGCUGUUGCUGCUGCCAAGGUUGCAAAGGCAAAGACACUGAGAACUGGAUCAUCUGCCUUUGUUUAUUCAUACUGGAACAGAGAAGCAGUCAUAGGACUUGAAAACUGUCCUCGACUGAGACCCCAGCCACACUGAAAACAUGGACAAACUUGGAAUCAAAAGCUGCAGGAUAGGACAAUCCAUCUCAGGAACUCCUGAAAAGCAGCAGCUUUAGAUUCAGAGAGGAUUUUUCUACCUUACUACAGCUUUGUCCUAGAGGUGGGUACUUAUCAGAUGAGAAAAUUCCAAGUUCUGUCCACCGUGCGUAUCUCAACCACGUAACAGGCUCAUCAUGACUUGUUAAGAGAAAAAACAAUCUCCCUCUUAAUGAGGCUUUAAUCAGAGACUUUUAUUUGCUUGUCUCUUCUUCCAGUUCAAGAGACCAGGUGUGUGCCUCUAUUACCCAGUCAUAGCUGUAACAUCUGAAAUGCAUCAUGCUGUUCUGCAAAGGUUCAUCUACUCUCAGAAGUCCAUCCUCCUAUUUCCAAUUCACUGACUUUCACAGUUGCAUUUCCAAUUAUGAGGACUGUACACACUGUACACAGCUUUUUAAAUGUCUUUUGUCCUAUUACCAGUCCUUUGUCUACUUAUUUACAUGGUUGCUACUGUCACAGUAUUUAAGUACUAACACUAGUCCUCUUUCAAACAACAAAGGGGGAAGGAAAGCGUUCUUAGCCAUUCUACAGAAGAAUGGAAGCAGACAUUUAGAUUCCAGUCCAAAAUAAUAUGUAGGUUCCCAAUUGCUACUGCCAUUAAUGUCAGUGGCAAGUUAGAAGAAGUCUGAAGUCUUCCUUUAAUUUAGACUUUAGUGACUUCUCCAAGGUGUAAGAAACCUAUAGUGAAGAAUGGAAUAUAUGUGUAUCUAUGUAUAUACAGCUAUUUUGUAUUGCCAGCCAAAUAACUUAACUACAGGCAUGAUCCUUUCUUUUGACUAAAGCCACUGCAGUCAUUAUAAUAGGUCUUUUCUUACAUAGCUUUUCCAUCUUAGGUGUCCAUUUCAUGAGUCCUUGCAAUUCUGAACCUGAAGGAAUCUACAAACACAGUCAUAGUUCUUUUGCUUAUCGAAAGGAAAAAUAUAUCUAAACUCUGUAAAUAGCUAUCACGGUAAAAAUGCUUCUUUCCCCUCUCACUUUGUAAACAGCAAGUAAAUUCAUAAAAAAUAAAUUUAAGUUACUAGGGGAAAUGUCAAGAAAGUCACAUUCUUAAUGCUCUUUAAAAAAAGUCUGCAACACAUUUGUUUGAAAUAUGUAAAAUGUUUAACUGUACUCAUUUUUUUUAGUCACAGAAUUCUAACCACUUUUCUACAAUAAGAAAAUGGUGAGACAUUUCUCAAAUUUCUGAAUAUCGACCAAUUAAACAACAAAUGGUUUCAUCCUUAAGACAGACAUCCACUGAGAGGAAUGUGAUCAGACUGAACUGGGUUUGUAUUCUUAAUUCAUUAGUGGAACUGUAAGGCCCUCUUCUGGAUUAUAAAUUACUGCACGUCUAAGCAAAGUACAUGGAAGUGACAAAGCUAACAAUGCUCUGAAAAGACAUGCUGUCUCAAAGCUGUUUUCUUUGUACUAUUAACAAUUCCAUUUCCUUGUUUUCACAUGUAUCUCUGAUCACACACUUCAGUUACCAUGAUUUAGUGACUGAGAAUGAAUCCCACUUAUUAGCAGGUUCUUAACCAUAAAGUGUUUCAUAUGCUAACAUUCAUAAGAGUGAACAUUCUAAAGAGAGAUUUCACAGUCUCAACAACUUUAUAUGAAAACGCUGUGCAGUCAAAAGUGACUCUUGCUUAUGCUAAUUAACACCUGCAUGUUCAAAUAAAGAAUGAGCCAUGCAGUUCUGCAUACAUACCUGUUUACAUAUGUACGCAAUUUUCACAAGUUAUGUUUGAAAAUUUGGCUUACACUAGAGAAGACAGUAAAGAGCAAUGAAGAACUGUUACAAUGGUCUUACCUCCAAUCUUCAAGGACUGUACAGUUCCUUAAAUGUCUUUUGAUUCCUCAAUAUACAAACAUGGACUGCAAAGGGCUUACAAAUGUGAUCUUCCAAGUGAUUUACAUACUUGCCUAAGCAAACAUUUACUCUUGAAAAGCAAGAUACUUCUCCACAGACAGAAGGAAAGAAAAUAUUUUAGAACGUGUUGUACAGAAUGAGAGCAUUUUAAUGGAUCCACCCAGCUGUAAAUAACAAUCCGAACUAUAAAUUUUC